ACUGCGUUCUAGCCGUUGAGUAGUUUAAACUCAAAUUUGGUUGAAAAAAUGAGCCAGCCAUUUUGAAAUGUCAACGCUGUGAUCAUUCUGAAACCGUCAUCGUCUGCAUACGGCAUAACACUUAACAGUAGAAAAAUAGUGAGUUUCUUUAAAAAAAAAAAUCCCAAGGAUGGUGAAAUAAUUGUUUCUGAUGUCGUUUUAUACUGAAUUCCGGAAGCUGGCCAGAAAAUGUAACGAAUUAAUUGAAGGAGUUCAAUUUUCCUGGGUCCACGAUCUUUGCGCAAGAUAGCUGAAAUUUAUAAGAAGUGCCAGUUCCCGACUAAAAAACUACUGCGCUGUUCUCGAUAGCUGCCACAUGUUCCAAUUAUUGUUUGCCGUUCCUGCCAUCCGCCAUGAACGAUGGAAAAACGAGAAGGCCGUUCCGACUGUUGUUGCUGCGUUCUAGCAACCCAUCCACCAUCAUCAAAUGUUUCCGGAUAAAGAUACUCAAACUGAACGAAUAUGUUAUACAAAGCUUUCUCGAGCCCACGGCAAUCCGGUUAUGGAUCAUUGGAGCGAAUAGCGUUCGAUCAUUAACAAUUUUUGUUAGUACACAGUGCACUUCAUGAGUUAGAGGAUGUUAGCUUGAAAACAAAUCAUCGGAACCACCUUCCUGAGAAACCCACAUACUGUGCCUUAACUGCUGGAACGACCAAGAAAAGCCUUGAAAAUUAUUUGUCUAAAUAGAUUGUUUUAUUACUUUCAACAAUAAACUCUAGACUAGAUGUGUUAAAGCCUUA
Molecule: long non-coding RNA, 779 nt
Organism: Aedes aegypti (yellow fever mosquito)
Lineage: Eukaryota; Metazoa; Arthropoda; Insecta; Diptera; Culicidae
Exons: 3
Source: RefSeq, a predicted model, not a curated record